GACGAACGCUGGCGGCGUGCUUAACACAUGCAAGUCGAACGGAAAGGCCCUGCUUUUGUGGGGUGCUCGAGUGGCGAACGGGUGAGUAACACGUGAGUAACCUGCCCUUGACUUUGGGAUAACUUCAGGAAACUGGGGCUAAUACCGGAUAGGAGCUCCUGCUGCAUGGUGGGGGUUGGAAAGUUUCGGCGGUUGGGGAUGGACUCGCGGCUUAUCAGCUUGUUGGUGGGGUAGUGGCUUACCAAGGCUUUGACGGGUAGCCGGCCUGAGAGGGUGACCGGCCACAUUGGGAAUGAGAUACGGCCCAGACUCCUACGGGAGGAAGCAGGGGGGAAUAUUGCACAAUGGGCGGAAGCCUGAUGCAGCAACGCCGCGUGCGGGAUGACGGCCGUCGGGUUGUAAACCGCUUUCGCCUGUGACGAAGCGUGAGUGACGGUAAUGGGUAAAGAAGCACCGGCUAACUACGUG
Molecule: ribosomal RNA, 468 nt
Filed under: uncultured bacterium
Lineage: Bacteria
Description: partial 16S ribosomal RNA
Rfam family: Bacterial small subunit ribosomal RNA
Source: RNAcentral